Amborella trichopoda is the source of this 1222-nucleotide RNA transcript. It is a transcript of the gene named reactive Intermediate Deaminase A, chloroplastic, with no coding region annotated. The record is from RefSeq and is a predicted model, not a curated record. NCBI's taxonomy places the organism in Eukaryota, Viridiplantae, Streptophyta, Magnoliopsida, Amborellales, Amborellaceae.
GAAAGGGGGAAAUGCUCCCGCGGGAGUAGAGUUUUAACCGUAGCCAUUUAGAGGGACUGGUUUACGGGUUUAACGCAGAUGUUUUGAAGCAGGAAGCAGAGAAGAAGCGGGUGGGUAAGUAGGCAAGGCAGUGCAACAAUGGCGUGGUGUAUUGGGUCAUCCUCCUCUCCCUUGGCGCCCAUCAUCGAGUUGAAGAAGGCAUUGUCGCGCAGCACCAAGGCCAUGGGCACGGGCUCCUCGCAGGUUGCCGCUGCAGCGGGCCUCUCUCUUGCUGUCGGAGGCUCCACUCUGCUUCUUCUUCAUCGGACCACAAGAAGGAAACAACUCACGCCACAUUUGUUUGCCUCCUCCACCAUGAGCAUCUCAGACACUGCUCGUAAAAUUGAGGUUAUUCAAGCAGACAAGGCCCCAAAAGCAGCUGGACCAUAUUCUCUGGGAAUCAAAUCUAAUAACCUCCUUUUCAUGUCUGGGCAAGUGGGCUUUGUUCCUGAGACAGGGAAACUCAUCUCCGAUAGCAUAGAGGAGCAGACAGAGCAGACUCUAAAGAAUAUUGGAGAAGUUUUGAAAGCUAGUGGUGCCAGUUAUUCUUCAGUUGUGAAGGCAACAGUCUUGCUUGCUGACAUCAAGGACUUCAACACAGUCAACAAGAUUUACGCAAAAUGUGAUGAUAAACUAGCGUUUCAGAGGAAACACCAGGGCGUGGUUUACGAAAUGUACAACGAAAAAAUUUCUAGUUGUGUGGAAGGGGCAGAAAUAAUGAGUAAUAGGUCUUAUUGGUAGUCUCCAGUUGUGACAUCCCUUUCCCUUCUAUUUUGGUGUACUUUCCCUUUUCCCAAAGGGGGGAAGGAAAGGGUAGUCUACUAUUUUUCAGCAUCUUGUGGGACAUUGAUCGGAGAUUUCUUGGCACCGUAUCCAGCACGCACAUGCUAUCAGGCUGCAGCCCUUCCGGUGGGUGCAAAGGUUGAAAUUGAAUGCAUUGCAGCUCUAUAGCUUUAUAGAAAGGUGGGCCCCCGCCUCCCCUCUUACAUUUAUUUAGCAUAGAUACUGUCUCCCUUGUUAAUUGGCAAAAGACAGAGUGAGGUGUAGUGGGUAGAAUGUCUUGAGACUUUUAAUGUUGUGCUAUUGGAGUUAGUGGUAGGUACAUUGUUACUGCUAAAUAAAGCAAUGAAAGAAUGCUGACGUUGAAAUACUGCUAAGGAAUAUGGCAAAUGUGGAUUAGUGC